GACGAACGCUGGCGGCGUGCCUAAUACAUGCAAGUCGAACGCUUCUUUCCUCCCGAGUGCUUGCACUCAAUUGGAAAGAGGAGUGGCGGACAGGUGAGUAACACGUGGGUAACCUACCCAUCAGAGGGGGAUAACACUUGGAAACAGGUGCUAAUACCGCAUAACAGUUUAUGCCGCAUGGCAUAAGAGUGAAAGGCGCUUUCGGGUGUCGCUGAUGGAUGGACCCGCGGUGCAUUAGCUAGUUGGUGAGGUAACGGCUCACCAAGGCCACGAUGCAUAGCCGACCUGAAGGGGUGAUCGGCAACACUGGGACUGAGACACGGCCCAGACUCCUACGGGAGGCAGCAGUAGGGAAUCUUCGGCAAUGGACGAAAGUCUGACCGAGCAACGCCGCGUGAGUGAAGAAGGUUUUCGGAUCGUAAAACUCUGUUGUUAGAGAAGAACAAGGACGUUAGUAACUGAACGUCCCCUGACGGUAUCUAACCAGAAAGCCACGGCUAACUACGUG
Molecule: ribosomal RNA, 508 nt
Filed under: uncultured bacterium
Lineage: Bacteria
Description: partial 16S ribosomal RNA
Rfam family: Bacterial small subunit ribosomal RNA
Source: RNAcentral